AUUUAUAUAAUUUAUAUAGAAUAUUGCAUUGAAGCUGCAAAAGAGACUAUAAUUGUCUGUAAAUA
RNAcentral lists this transfer RNA (65 nucleotides) under Scopimera intermedia. RNAcentral's name for it is "tRNA-Phe". The record is from RNAcentral. Lineage: Eukaryota; Metazoa; Arthropoda; Malacostraca; Decapoda; Dotillidae.